This 546-nucleotide ribosomal RNA is filed under the name uncultured bacterium. Its description in RNAcentral is "bacterial SSU rRNA". It matches the Rfam family "Bacterial small subunit ribosomal RNA", at positions 356 to 896 of the family's 1533-position model. The record is from RNAcentral.
GGGGAAUAUUGCGCAAUGGGGGCAACCCUGACGCAGCCAUGCCGCGUGAAUGAAGAAGGCCUUCGGGUUGUAAAGUUCUUUCGGUAGCGAGGAAGGCAUUUAGUUUAAUAGACUAGGUGAUUGACGUUAACUACAGAAGAAGCACCGGCUAACUCCGUGCCAGCAGCCGCGGUAAUACGGAGGGUGCGAGCGUUAAUCGGAAUAACUGGGCGUAAAGGGCACGCAGGCGGUGACUUAAGUGAGGUGUGAAAGCCCCGGGCUUAACCUGGGAAUUGCAUUUCAUACUGGGUCGCUAGAGUACUUUAGGGAGGGGUAGAAUUCCACGUGUAGCGGUGAAAUGCGUAGAGAUGUGGAGGAAUACCGAAGGCGAAGGCAGCCCCUUGGGAAUGUACUGACGCUCAUGUGCGAAAGCGUGGGGAGCAAACAGGAUUAGAUACCCUGGUAGUCCACGCUGUAAACGAUGUCGAUUUGGGGGUUGAACUUUGAGUUUGGCGCCCGUAGCUAACGUGAUAAAUCGACCGCCUGGGGAGUACGGCCGCAAGGUUA